CNUCUGGCUUAACUGGGGGCUUGCGGUGGGUACGGGCCGGCUUGAGUGCGGUAGGGGAGACUGGAACUCCUGGUGUAGCGGUGGAAUGCGCAGAUAUCAGGAAGAACACCGGUGGCGAAGGCGGGUCUCUGGGCCGUUACUGACGCUGAGGAGCGAAAGCGUGGGGAGCGAACAGGAUUAGAUACCCUGGUAGUNCACGCCGUAAACGUUGGGCACUAGGUGUGGGGGGCCUUUUCCGGNUCUUCCGCGCCGUAGCUAACGCAUUAAGUGCCCCGCCUGGGGAGUACGGCCGCAAGGCUAAAACUCAAAGGAAUUGACGGGGGCCCGCACAAGCGGCGGAGCAUGCGGAUUAAUUCGAUGCAACGCGAAGAACCUUACCAAGGCUUGACAUGUGCCGGUCGGCUCCGGAGACGGGGCUUCCUCCUUGUGGGGCCGGUUCACAGGUGGUGCAUGGUUGUCGUCAGCUCGUGUCGUGAGAUGUUGGGUUAAGUCCCGCAACGAGCGCAACCCUUGUCCCGUGUUGCCAGCACGUUGUGGUGGGGACUCGCGGGAGACUGCCGGGGUCAACUCGGAGGAAGGUGGGGAUGACGUCAAAUCAUCAUGCCCCUUAUGUCUUGGGCUUCACGCAUGCUACAAUGGCCGGUACAGAGGGCUGCGAUACCGUGAGGUGGAGCGAAUCCCUUAAAGCCGGUCUCAGUUCGGAUCGGUGUCUGCAACUCGACACCGUGAAGUUGGAGUCGCUAGUAAUCGCAGAUCAGCAACGCUGCGGUGAAUACGUUCUCGGGCCUUGUACACACCGCCCGUCACGUCAUGAAA
Molecule: ribosomal RNA, 816 nt
Filed under: uncultured bacterium
Lineage: Bacteria
Description: bacterial SSU rRNA
Rfam family: Bacterial small subunit ribosomal RNA
Source: RNAcentral